This 62-nucleotide transfer RNA is filed under the name Dictyoptera aurora. Its description in RNAcentral is "tRNA-Phe". The record is from RNAcentral. Lineage: Eukaryota; Metazoa; Arthropoda; Insecta; Coleoptera; Lycidae.
AUUUUAAUAGCUUAUAAAGAGCAUAAUAUUGAAGAUAUUAAGGAAAUUUUUAUUUUAGAAUA